This is a small nucleolar RNA of 128 nucleotides. Its record names the gene SNORD22. It matches the Rfam family "Small nucleolar RNA SNORD22". Rfam says of the family: U22 is a member of the C/D class of snoRNA which contain the C (UGAUGA) and D (CUGA) box motifs. U22 is encoded within the U22 snoRNA host gene (UHG) in mammals and has also been identified in Xenopus. The record is from Ensembl.
UUCUUGGGAACACUGAAUCAUGAUUCAAAUGUGCAGCGCUUUGAUUCUAGUAAGAAAGGGUGGUGAACCCACUGGGGUGGCUGGAGGAAAAGAGGAAGUUUUGUUCCAGAAGGAACUGUCUGAGGGAU